This 499-nucleotide ribosomal RNA is filed under the name uncultured Glomeromycotina. RNAcentral describes it as "partial small subunit ribosomal RNA". It matches the Rfam family "Eukaryotic small subunit ribosomal RNA", at positions 591 to 1092 of the family's 1831-position model. Lineage: Eukaryota; Fungi; Glomeromycota. The record is from RNAcentral.
CCAAUAGCGUAUAUUAAAGUUGUUGCAGUUAAAAAGCUCGUAGUUGAAUUUCGGGAUCAAGGAAUCGGUCAUGCCUUGGUAUGUACUGGUUUUAUUGGUUCUCACCUUCUAAAGAACCAUAAUGUCAUUCAUUUGAUGUUAUGGGGAAUUAGGACUGUUACCUUGAAAAAAUUAGAGUGUCUAAAGCAGGCUUACGCUUGAAUACAUUAGCAUGGAAUAAUGAAAUAGGACAUCAGAUUCUAUUUUGUUGGUUUCUAGGAUCGAUGUAAUGAUUAAUAGGGAUAGUUGGGGGCAUUAGUAUUCAAUUGUCAGAGGUGAAAUUCUUGGAUUUAUUGAAGACUAACUACUGCGAAAGCAUUUGCCAAGGAUGUUUUCAUUAAUCAAGAACGAAAGUUAGGGGAUCGAAGACGAUCAGAUACCGUCGUAGUCUUAACCAUAAACUAUGCCGACUAGGGAUCGGAUGAUGUUAAUUUUAUAAUGACUCAUUCGGCACCUUACG